Molecule: ribosomal RNA, 400 nt
Filed under: phytoplankton environmental sample
Lineage: Eukaryota
Description: partial small subunit ribosomal RNA
Rfam family: Eukaryotic small subunit ribosomal RNA
Source: RNAcentral
AGCUCCAAUAGCGUAUAUUAAAGUUGUUGCGGUUAAAAAGCUCGUAGUUGGAUUUCUGCUUGGGAUGAACGGUCCGCCCUCUGGGUGUUGUAUCUGGCUUGUCCCGGGCAUCUUCUUGAGGAACGUUUCUGCACUUGAGUGUGUGGUACGGAACUCAAGACUUUCACUUUGAGGAAAUUAGAGUGUUUCACGCAGGCUUUUGCCUUGAAUACGCUAGCAUGGAAUGAUAAGAUAGGACCUCGUCCCUACCUUGUUGGUUUGUAGAGAUGAGGUAAUGAUUAAUAGGGAUAGUCGGGGGCAUUCGUACUUAACUGUCAGAGGUGAAAUUCUUGGAUUUGUUAAAGACGGGCUACUGCGAAAGCAUUUGCCAAGGAUGUUUUCAUUGAUCAAGAACGAAAGU